RNAcentral lists this ribosomal RNA (325 nucleotides) under uncultured Pseudomonadota bacterium. RNAcentral describes it as "bacterial SSU rRNA". It matches the Rfam family "Bacterial small subunit ribosomal RNA", at positions 28 to 351 of the family's 1533-position model. Lineage: Bacteria; Pseudomonadati; Pseudomonadota. The record is from RNAcentral.
GACGAACGCUGGCGGUAUGCUUAACACAUGCAAGUCGAACGAGACGAAGGUGCUUGCACCUUUAGAAAGUGGCGAACGGGUGAGUAACGCGUGGGUAACCUGCCCUAUGGAAAGGAAUAGCCUCGGGAAACUGGGAGUAAUGCCUUAUAAGAUGCAUCUGCCGCAUGGCGGAAGUAUUAAACGCUCCGGUGCCAUAGGAUGGACCCGCGUCCCAUUAGCUAGUUGGUGAGAUAACAGCCCACCAAGGCCACGAUGGGUAACCGGUCUGAGAGGGCGAACGGUCACACUGGAACUGAGACACGGUCCAGACUCCUACGGGUGGCUG